UGAUUAUUGAUCAUGGCUCAAGCUGAANCGCUGGCGUGUUAAGAGCCUAACACAUGCAAGUCGAACGGCAGCACAGGAAGCUUGCUCUCUGGGUGGCGAGUGGCGGACGGGUGAGGGAAUACAUCGGAAUCUACUUUUUCGGUGGNGGGGNAUAACGUAGGCGUUAUAACUUACGCUUUUACCGCCUACGACCCUUACGGGUUAAAAGCGGGGGAUCUUUCGGGGUAACGCCUUCUGCCGGGCCNGUCAGUUGGNAAAACUUUGUCGGGCCCCCGUCNNCUUGCUUCCGCGUACAAUUUUCACGGCGUUCCUUUUUGGUCCGCUGUGGGGGUUCACACGGGGGGAGCGCCCAGCCCCUAGGGGAGGCAAGANGUAACUUCCCGNUUUGAGUCCUCUGGNGUUCCUUUGAACGAAGCGCGGACAUUGGCACUCCCUGCGCCGUGCGAUUUGGNUCACGACCUGUGACGNCCCUC
RNAcentral lists this ribosomal RNA (473 nucleotides) under uncultured bacterium. Its description in RNAcentral is "partial 16S ribosomal RNA". The record is from RNAcentral.